AAGUCAUUUCCAAGAGGGCUUUUGGUACUGAAACCAGGAGCUCUUAACACUGUGACCCUGAAGGCCCUCUUCCCUAGGUUGCAGUGGCCGCUCAGGCAGGAACGCUGCCUUACCUGUGGGGCUCUGUGG
This 129-nucleotide small nucleolar RNA is filed under the name Sorex araneus (European shrew). RNAcentral describes it as "Small nucleolar RNA SNORA25 (ENSSARG00000019685.1)". Lineage: Eukaryota; Metazoa; Chordata; Mammalia; Eulipotyphla; Soricidae. The record is from RNAcentral.